UACGUAGGGUGCGAGCGUUAAUCGGAAUUACUGGGCGUAAAGGGUGCGCAGGCGGUUUUGUAAGACAGAUGUGAAAUCCCCGGGCUUAACCUGGGAACUGCGUUUGUGACUGCAAGACUUGAGUGUGGCAGAGGGGGGUGGAAUUCCACGUGUAGCAGUGAAAUGCGUAGAGAUGUGGAGGAACACCGAUGGCGAAGGCAGCCCCUCGGGUCGAAC
RNAcentral lists this ribosomal RNA (216 nucleotides) under uncultured bacterium. RNAcentral's name for it is "partial 16S ribosomal RNA". It matches the Rfam family "Bacterial small subunit ribosomal RNA", at positions 524 to 740 of the family's 1533-position model. The record is from RNAcentral.